RNAcentral lists this ribosomal RNA (563 nucleotides) under Streptomyces gardneri. RNAcentral describes it as "bacterial SSU rRNA". It matches the Rfam family "Bacterial small subunit ribosomal RNA", at positions 75 to 654 of the family's 1533-position model. Lineage: Bacteria; Bacillati; Actinomycetota; Actinomycetes; Kitasatosporales; Streptomycetaceae. The record is from RNAcentral.
GCCCUUCGGGGUGGAUUAGUGGCGAACGGGUGAGUAACACGUGGGCAAUCUGCCCUUCACUCUGGGACAAGCCCUGGAAACGGGGUCUAAUACCGGAUAACACCGGCCUCUGCAUGGAGGCUGGUUAAAAGCUCCGGCGGUGAAGGAUGAGCCCGCGGCCUAUCAGCUUGUUGGUGGGGUAAUGGCCUACCAAGGCGACGACGGGUAGCCGGCCUGAGAGGGCGACCGGCCACACUGGGACUGAGACACGGCCCAGACUCCUACGGGAGGCAGCAGUGGGGAAUAUUGCACAAUGGGCGAAAGCCUGAUGCAGCGACGCCGCGUGAGGGAUGACGGCCUUCGGGUUGUAAACCUCUUUCAGCAGGGAAGAAGCGAAAGUGACGGUACCUGCAGAAGAAGCGCCGGCUAACUACGUGCCAGCAGCCGCGGUAAUACGUAGGGCGCAAGCGUUGUCCGGAAUUAUUGGGCGUAAAGAGCUCGUAGGCGGCUUGUCACGUCGGGUGUGAAAGCCCGGGGCUUAACCCCGGGUCUGCAUCCGAUACGGGCAGGCUAGAGUGUGGUAG